RNAcentral lists this transfer RNA (70 nucleotides) under Mus musculus (house mouse). It matches the Rfam family "tRNA". From Rfam's summary of the family: Transfer RNA (tRNA) molecules are approximately 80 nucleotides in length. The record is from Rfam by way of RNAcentral. Lineage: Eukaryota; Metazoa; Chordata; Mammalia; Rodentia; Muridae.
GGUGACUGAGCUCAGUUGAUAGAGUGUUUGACUGACAUUCAAGAAGCCCUGGGUUUGAGCCCCAGAACCA